This 468-nucleotide ribosomal RNA is filed under the name uncultured bacterium. Its description in RNAcentral is "partial 16S ribosomal RNA". It matches the Rfam family "Bacterial small subunit ribosomal RNA", at positions 28 to 507 of the family's 1533-position model. The record is from RNAcentral.
GACGAACGCUGGCGGCGUGCUUAACACAUGCAAGUCGAACGGAAAGGCCCUGCUUUUGUGGGGUGCUCGAGUGGCGAACGGGUGAGUAACACGUGAGUAACCUGCCCUUGACUUUGGGAUAACUUCAGGAAACUGGGGCUAAUACCGGAUAGGAGCUCCUGCUGCAUGGUGGGGGUUGGAAAGUUUCGGCGGUUGGGGAUGGACUCGCGGCUUAUCAGCUUGUUGGUGGGGUAGUGGCUUACCAAGGCUUUGACGGGUAGCCGGCCUGAGAGGGUGACCGGCAACAGUGGGACUGAGAUACGGACCAGACUCCUACGGGAGGCAGCAGUGGGGAAUAUUGCACAAUGGGCGGAAGCCUGAUGCAGCAACGCCGCGUGCGGGAUGACGGCCUUCGGGUUGUAAACCGCUUUCGCCUGUGACGAAGCGUGAGUGACGGUAAUGGGUAAAGAAGCACCGGCUAACUACGUG